Molecule: ribosomal RNA, 425 nt
Filed under: uncultured bacterium
Lineage: Bacteria
Description: partial 16S ribosomal RNA
Rfam family: Bacterial small subunit ribosomal RNA
Source: RNAcentral
GUUAGGAAUAUUGGACAAUGGGCGCAAGCCUGAUCCAGCCAUGCCGCGUGAGUGAUGAAGGCCUCCGGGUUGUAAAGCCUUUUAGUCCACGAAUAUAAUGCCUGUAGUGGAAGAAUAAGCCCCGGCUAACUUCGUGCCAGCAGCCGCGGUAAUACGAAGGGGGCGAGCGUAAUUCGGAAUCACUGGGCGUAAAGCGUGCGUAGGCUGUUUUUUAAGUCAGAAGUGAAAGCCCAGGGCUUAACCCUGGAAUUGCUUUUAAAACUACAAGACUCGAAUUCGGGAGAGGAUAGCGGAAUUGUCAGUGUAGCAGUGAAAUGCGUAGAUAUUGACAGGAACACCAGUGGCGCAAGCGGCUAUCUGGACCGAUAUUGACGCUGAGGCACGAAAGCGUGGGGAGCAAACAGGAUUAGAAACCCUGGUAGUCC